This 461-nucleotide ribosomal RNA is filed under the name uncultured bacterium. RNAcentral describes it as "partial 16S ribosomal RNA". It matches the Rfam family "Bacterial small subunit ribosomal RNA", at positions 338 to 795 of the family's 1533-position model. The record is from RNAcentral.
CCUACGGGAGGCAGCAGUGAGGAAUAUUGGUCAAUGGGCGCGAGCCUGAACCAGCCAAGUAGCGUGAAGGAUGACUGCCCUACGGGUUGUAAACUUCUUUUAUAAAGGAAUAAAGUCAGGCACGUGUGCCUUUCUGAAUGUACGUUAUGAAUAAGGAUCGGCUAACUCCGUGCCAGCAGCCGCGGUAAUACGGAGGAUCCGAGCGUUAUCCGGAUUUAUUGGGUUUAAAGGGUGCGUAGGGGGUGAGGUAAGUCAGCGGUGAAAUGCCGACGCUCAACGGGGUGAAUGGCCAUGGAUACUGCCUUGCUGGAGUGCGGAUGCGGUAGGCGGAAUGUGUGGUGUAGCGGUGAAAUGCUUAGAUAUCACACAGAACACCGAUUGCGAAGGCAUCUCACGAAGCCGCGAUUGACGCUGAUGCACGAAAGCGUGGGUAUCAAACAGGAUUAGAUACCCCAGUAGUC